CCACGGGGGGCUGCAGUGGGGAAUAUUGGACAAUGGGCGAAAGCCUGAUCCAGCCAUGCCGCGUGUGUGAAGAAGGCCUUCGGGUUGUAAAGCACUUUCAGUGGGGAAGAAAGCCUUGGGGCUAAUACCCUCGAGGAAGGACAUCACCCACAGAAGAAGCACCGGCUAACUCCGUGCCAGCAGCCGCGGUAAUACGGAGGGUGCGAGCGUUAAUCGGAAUUACUGGGCGUAAAGCGCGCGUAGGCGGUCUGAUAAGCCGGUUGUGAAAGCCCCGGGCUCAACCUGGGAACGGCAUCCGGAACUGUCAGGCUAGAGUGCAGGAGAGGAAGGUAGAAUUCCCGGUGUAGCGGUGAAAUGCGUAGAGAUCGGGAGGAAUACCAGUGGCGAAGGCGGCCUUCUGGACUGACACUGACGCUGAGGUGCGAAAGCGUGGGUAGCAAACAGGAUUAGAUACCCUUGUAGUC
Molecule: ribosomal RNA, 464 nt
Filed under: Vreelandella stevensii
Lineage: Bacteria; Pseudomonadati; Pseudomonadota; Gammaproteobacteria; Oceanospirillales; Halomonadaceae
Description: partial 16S ribosomal RNA
Rfam family: Bacterial small subunit ribosomal RNA
Source: RNAcentral